CCCAGUUCAGAGUGGCAAAGCGUGGAUUGAAUGUUUAACCCUUCGCAGGGAGAGCUGGAGGGGCUUGAAGCAUCUUUUUCUAUUCAUCCAACAGGCUGCUCAGGAGGACUGCGGUGAAGCAUUGAGCGGCUGCAGUCACCAGUCAUCUGAGAGGCGCGGAAGCUGCAACCUGUUUGGUUACUAAAUCCUCAUCAAACUACCUCCUCUCAGUCUACAAGUCAUGUUUUCCUCACUUUGGGGGUUCUCAACAAAGACUCUGCUAUAGUCACAGCAGACCAAAGUGAUGAGAGGUGGGUCAGCUGUGAGCUGAACCAUGAUCACUCUGUCUUGAUGAGGAAACAAACAAAAAUGUUACUCACCAUUGAUGCAGCCUUUCCAUAUGCCAGAGAUUGCAUCCACACUGAAGUGUGAGAAUGGGUUAUGCUGCACAGGGAAACGCCCCCCCUCCUCCACCCCUUCCCUGCUAUUCCUUUCUCCGCUGUGCGUGCCUCGCCUCCCCGCUUGUGUGGGGAAUCACAUAACCACUCCUUGUUUUUCCAUUUUCUUCGAGGGAGGGAUGCUGGGAUGGAGGCUGUGCAGCAGCAGAGGCAGCGGCGGCAGCAUCCCUUCCGCUGUGCAGCUCAUCCGCAACCUCUCACCUCUCCUCUCCUCCUCCUCCACCUCCUCCUCCUCCUCUAAUCGCCUUCUCCUCCUUUCUCUUUCUCUCCUUUUGCCUCUCUCCAAGCCCUGCCACCGGAGAGCAUGCCCCGUAGUGCAGCUCUUCCCAAGCUGGGAUCCGAGGACUGAAAAAAAGUCACGUUGGAGCUCUGAAACUUUGGAUCCUCCUUUGGAACAGAAAGGACAGAUUUCUAUUCCACAACGUUGUGGCUGCAGCUUCCUAAGGGUGUUUCCUCCAGGGUCCCUGCAGAGCUUUGUGCAUUCCCUCCGGUGUCCACGUGUGAUCCCACACCUAAUCCUACUCCUAAUGGGACCUCUGCAUUCAAUUGAUUUUCUCCCUUAG
Molecule: long non-coding RNA, 1000 nt
Filed under: Oryzias sinensis (Chinese medaka)
Lineage: Eukaryota; Metazoa; Chordata; Actinopteri; Beloniformes; Adrianichthyidae
Description: lncRNA (ENSOSIG00000000258.1)
Source: RNAcentral